GACACAGGGAGGUAGUGACAAGAAAUAACAAUACGGGGCUUAAUGUCUUGUAAUGGGAAUGAUGGGAAUUUAAACCUUUUCCAGAGUAUCAAUUGGAGGGCAAGUCUGGUGCCAGCAGCCGCGGUAAUUCCAGCUCCAAUAGCGUAUAUUAAAAUUGUUGCAGUUAAAAAGCUCGUAGUUGAAUUUCUGCUGCAUUACAUUUCUCUUGUUUGAGUUUGUUAUUGUGGUUUAUUUCGGAUUGAUUUUUAUCUUUCCGGAUGAUUACUUUGAGAAAAUUAGAGUGCUCAAAGCAGGCUUUUGCCUUGAAUAGUUUAGCAUGGAAUAAUAAAGUAGGACUUUGGUUCUAUUUUGUUGGUUUUAGGUACCAAAGUAAUGGUAAUAGGAACAGUUGGGGCUUAA
Molecule: ribosomal RNA, 399 nt
Filed under: Theileria sp.
Lineage: Eukaryota; Apicomplexa; Aconoidasida; Piroplasmida; Theileriidae
Description: SSU rRNA
Rfam family: Eukaryotic small subunit ribosomal RNA
Source: RNAcentral